Molecule: transfer RNA, 71 nt
Filed under: Marmota marmota marmota (Alpine marmot)
Lineage: Eukaryota; Metazoa; Chordata; Mammalia; Rodentia; Sciuridae
Also listed under: 3 other names
Rfam family: tRNA
About the family: Transfer RNA (tRNA) molecules are approximately 80 nucleotides in length. Their secondary structure includes four short double-helical elements and three loops (D, anti-codon, and T loops).
Source: Rfam by way of RNAcentral
GCUGGGGUAGCUCAGUGGUAGAGCAGUUUCCUGGCCUGAAUGAGACCCUGGGUUCCAUCCCCAGCUCUGCA